Molecule: ribosomal RNA, 578 nt
Filed under: Glomeromycotina sp.
Lineage: Eukaryota; Fungi; Glomeromycota
Description: eukaryotic LSU rRNA
Rfam family: Eukaryotic large subunit ribosomal RNA
Source: RNAcentral
CAAAUUUUAAAUCUACCUGGUUUCCAGGUCGAGUUGUAAUUUGAAGAAGUGUUUUUUACUUUCCGGGUUGGGUUAAAUCCUUUGGGAUAAGGUAUCAUGGAGGGUGAGAAUCCCGUGUAUACCAACCGCAGGAUUGUUUAAUAUACACUUUCUAAGAGUCGAGUUGUUUGGGAAUGCAGCUCUAAAUGGGUGGUAAAUUUCACCUAAUGCUAAAUAUAAGCGAGAGACCGAUAGCGAACAAGUACCGUGAGGGAAAGAUGAAAAGAACUUUGAAAAGAGAGUUAAAUAGUACGUGAAAUUGUUGAAAGGGAAACGGUUGAAGUCAGUCAUGCCGGCGGGAAUCAACUUAGGGGAAACUCUGAGUGCACUUCUUCGCUUGGCAGGUUAGCGUCGAUUUUGGAUGUCAUAAAAUGACUGGGGGAAGGUAGCUCUUUCGGGAGUGUUAAGCCCUURGUAGAUGUGAUGUCYGGGAUCGAGGAUUGCAACGGAUACCUUUUGGGCUAGCCGCCUAGUCUCUAAUACGAAGUUGGGUUAUGGACAGCACGCUGACUGUGAUCUGAUUUUCGGUAAAAGAUUAG